GUUCUGUGUAUCAUAUCGUGUGGGCUUUGUAUUUCUGUAAGUCUGAUAACACUGUACACACAACUAACAUAUUAUUUCUCGUCUUACACUUUCAGGAACUUGACUGACAUCUGUGCUUUGCCUGGUAGGUGUGCACAUACUUGUGCAGAAGAAGAACAAGGACCAGAUCUCCAGUCUUCUCUCUCACAUCCCAACCCCCCAUCCCCUCUAUCCUCUGUACUGCUCCACCUGUUGUCUCUGCCUUCCUUCCAUCUGUAUUUCACCCUGUGGUUUGUGAGAAAUUUUGCCAAACCAAGAAUCUUAUUGCGGUUUGAUUUCAAAGCCGCGUCUCUAAUUUUAGAGUUCGAAGGAACUCUAAUUCACGGUUUAAUUGGGAUUUCCCAGCCGUGUCUUUCCUGCUCUGUCUGUUCUCUCUGCUAAAUUUUCUCUCUACCUGUUUUUCACUCCUGGCUUGCUGCUGAAUAAUGGCAAGCCAAUAAAGCAAUAAAGAGUGCAUAUUUUGCCUCAACCUAUGAACAAACUGAACAAACAAAGAAAACUCUGCGGUUUGAUUUCAAAGCCGCGCCUCUAAUUUUAGAGUUCGAAGGAACUCUAAUUCACGGUUUAAUUGGGAUUUCCCAGCCGUGUCUUUCCUGCUCUGUCUGUUCUCUCUGCUAAAUUUUCUCUCUACCUGUUUUUCACUCUUGGCUUGCUGCUGAAAAAGGCCAAGCCAUUAAAGCAAUAAAGAGUGCAUAUUGCCUCUACCUGAGAACAAACUGAACAAAUAAAGAAAACUCUAAUUCACGGUUUGAUUGUGAUUUCCCAGCCGUGUCUCUCCUGCUCUGUCUAUUCUCUCUUCUAAAUUUUCUCUCUACCUGUUUUUCAUUCUGGGCUUGCUGCUAAGUUGUGCCAAGCCCAUAAAGAGAGUGCAUAUUAUUCUCUCGACUGACAAAAAAACUGUCAAACAAACAAAGACAUCUGUUUCUGAGAAAUAAAAACUGAAAUAUAAAGACAAAGACAACAUCUCCUGGUGUGUGCCACUCUUAU
RNAcentral lists this long non-coding RNA (1026 nucleotides) under Oreochromis niloticus (Nile tilapia). RNAcentral's name for it is "lncRNA (ENSONIG00000041683.1)". The record is from RNAcentral. Lineage: Eukaryota; Metazoa; Chordata; Actinopteri; Cichliformes; Cichlidae.